RNAcentral lists this transfer RNA (73 nucleotides) under Gasteruption parvicollarium. RNAcentral describes it as "tRNA-Pro". The record is from RNAcentral. Lineage: Eukaryota; Metazoa; Arthropoda; Insecta; Hymenoptera; Gasteruptiidae.
CAAAAAAUAGUUUAAUUAAAAUUUUAAUUUUGGAGAUUAAAUAUAUAAAUACGUUAUAAUUUUAUUUUUUUGA